Oxyura jamaicensis (ruddy duck) is the source of this 1107-nucleotide long non-coding RNA. RefSeq lists it as uncharacterized. The transcript has 3 exons. NCBI's taxonomy places the organism in Eukaryota, Metazoa, Chordata, Aves, Anseriformes, Anatidae. The record is from RefSeq and is a predicted model, not a curated record.
GGAGGGCGACUAGGUUAUGGUCCUUUUCACACAGAGAGCGGAAAAUUUACACAGGGGACCGCGUCCAACUAGAGAAUGAAAUGACUACUGAGACCUAGUGGGAAGAACAUGCCUCCUUAUGUUCUGUAUGCCAACGAGUUGAUAAUAUAUAUAUAUUUUUUUUAAAAAAAAAAAGCUGUCCCAUAAGCCAUGGAAUUACUGAAACCCAGUGUCACAGCGGCGUGCAUCCCUUCCCUGCAGCCCCCCUCCCCUGUCCUUUCCCAGCCCUGAGCCCAGUUCUUUUAGGACUGGGCAGCUGGUCCCUGCUGAUCCGAAUGAGAAACUGAGCUGCCCCGCUUUGCCUCGGCUGGGGCAUUAGUAGGGUCUGCCCCUCCGCUCAGACGCCCCCUUUCACAACUCUUCUGAGAUCACAUCUUUGAGGCCUUUUAUCCUUUACUCAGAUUUGUGUGGAAUCGGCUAACCAGCUCAAAAAUUGCUUAUAGAGGACUGAGAGAGUAGGAGCGCAAUCACCCGUGCCUUUUAUCCCUAGGAAAUGAGGCUAAAAUUAGGAACAGAAGCAUCUGAAGGUACUGACGAUACUGACUUACCAGCAGCAAAGCUUUCUGCAGCCACCUGUGGGCUGAAAAAAAACCUCUGCAGACGCCGUUUCAACAGAAACUGAGCACAUGCAACCGUUCCUGGAAUCAGCAGUCAUGUUUGGGGGAGAAGAAAAUCCUCGCUGUGAAGAAGUUUUAAGCUGCUACCAGCUUGCGGUUUGAGAAUUCGUAGCAGGGUGGAGACUUCUCUGGUACUGCUGGAGGAGCAGCAGCUCAGGCUGUCAGAGCGGGUAAGGGAGUGUUCUAGAGGAGCCUCACUAGAAGUCUACCUUUCCCUAGUUGCUUUUUUACAGAGAGGUUCGGUUUUUAUAUAGAGGCGUAUCUCCAGAAAGCUUUACGUGGGGUGGAAAUGAAUAGUGUUCAAAACAUAACAAUUCAUACAACCUUCCACCACAGGGAUCCAGGUAAGAAUUUGUAUUUCUCUUCCAUACCUCAGUAGAGAUGGAAGGCACUGAUAAGCUAUGGAAACCUCAUAUGGAGCAGAAUUUAAAUAUAAAAUGCAGAAAAAUGA